UAACCUGUGAAUCAGGAAGGAUCAUUCUGCCUAGUUCAAGAUCUUAGUGAACUCUUAGUGAACUUAGUGAACUCUAACUUCGUUGCUGUAGCCAGCCAGAGGGGCUAAUGAUGGUUGUCACUGGAUUAAUUUGUAAAUCUAGGAUAAAAAGAUGAAGGAAAUAUUGAUGGAAGACUUAAACUUCUAAAACAAGAUGGAAUAGAAGUGAGAAUGCAUGUCUUGAAUUGUUCUUGGUUUCAAAAGAUAAACAUUUUUUAACAUCUCAGCACUAAAGAAGGGGAUCCUCCUCCAUGGGACUCUGUGAGCAUCUCUUGAAGACAGAAUGUGUGGCUUUUUGGGAAAUAGAGGCAUCCAGAAAUCAGAGAAUGAUGAAUCUAGAAGGCAUCUUGACCGUCUUCUCACACCUGGAAUGCAGACCAUGGAGCCAGAGGUGGGCCGGAAGAUCUGCAGUGUCCCUCCACAGUCGUGUGGGUUGAUAGAAACUUUGAUAAAAUCAUGAAGAAGGUGGGUGAUUUGGGGUGUUCCUGCCCUUUUGUCCUCUCUGACUUCAGCAGCUGUUCUCUUUCCCGGCACCCAGGGCCCACCUCAGUGUGUAGUUCCUGGGGCCUUUUCCUGGGCUCAUUAAACCUUCAUUCCUCGCGGGGUGCUGGGGGGUAGGGAGCAUCCUAAUUGGCUUUUAGGAGAUUAUCCGAUUCUGGUGAUUUACAGCGUUAGGAAUGGCUGGUGCCUGUGACCACACGGCAAUAUUUACAUUUUAAAAAGGAAAGCUAUUAAUCAAGAUUAUGGGAGUAUGUGGUGCCAUUUUUAGUCUGGAGGAUUUUUAUUUUCCACCGAUAUUUCAGGAAAUCAGGAGCUCCUCAGUGGGUACCCCUCUUGUGGGAUGUUGGCUGCCUAUCACAGAUUGAGAGAGAGCCUUCUCCCCUCAGCCCAUGUUGAGUUUUCUCAAGAAGAUAUUCAGAGAAGAGGGUCUGAAAGUGCCCCGCAUAGCUUUCUUCCUGACUGUUCAAUAAUUCUCACUGUCAGGACAUUUCUUUCGUAGUGAACCUAAAUCCUGUCUGUGCUGUUUGAUCCAUUCUAUUUCCUCCUGUCCUGCCCUCAGUGGAAACAGAAAACAGCUGGUAACGUUCCUUGCACACAACAAAUGAUUCUGGCUUCUCAGGAGGCUUGAUUCGAAGGUAACUCGUUAGAGCAGCCUCCCCCGCCCCCACCCCAACGCAGACCUCGGGGGCCCUCACUUGAAGGGUUGGGCCAGGGUCCCUUGCUUCAGAGAAAGCCGGAGCACCCCCCUCCUCCCCCUCCCACACCAGUUUAAUGUCAUUGCCGCGUGUGUGACAAAUCCUGUGUUUAACUUGGGCGAGCUUCAGAGGGUCCUCCUUGAACCACAUUCCAACUAAAAGCCUGCCGCAAAAGGCCGGCGUUUGAACCCGGUUAACGUUCUCCACAGCCUCGCAGAUCUCCCGGAUGUAGCCAACAAAACAGCCGCUGUGGAGGGCAUGGAGAGUGUCACCAUAGUCAAAAUGGAGUAUUUAUCCAUUUAUUAGGCAGGGCGGGGGUGUAUGGGUCAUGCUGACACACAAAGUUGCCGAGCCUAAACUGUGUCUCCUCCUUAUGUUAUGCCAUGUUGCAAGAGAGGGAGGCAGUUUUAAUUACUGAAUGGAUUCCGAACUCUCACUUUAAAGUGGCAAUAAUACAAAUGUGUGCCCAAAUGUUCUUGCCAAUACGACAAAAACAUAUUGCCAUAUCUCUAAAUCCACUAUCUUGAGACAAAAAUAAUUUCCCAGGGGUCCCUUCGGCUCAGGUCAUGAUCUCAGGGUUCUGGGAUAGAGCC
Molecule: long non-coding RNA, 1828 nt
Organism: Mustela erminea (ermine)
Lineage: Eukaryota; Metazoa; Chordata; Mammalia; Carnivora; Mustelidae
Exons: 3
Source: RefSeq, a predicted model, not a curated record